This 252-nucleotide ribosomal RNA is filed under the name uncultured bacterium. Its description in RNAcentral is "partial 16S ribosomal RNA". It matches the Rfam family "Bacterial small subunit ribosomal RNA", at positions 524 to 776 of the family's 1533-position model. The record is from RNAcentral.
UACGUAGGUGGCAAGCGUUGUCCGGAAUUACUGGGUGUAAAGGGAGCGUAGGCGGGAAUACAAGUUGGAUGUCUAAUCUACCGGCUUAACCGGUAUUCGCAUUCAAAACUGUAUUUCUUGAGUGAAGUAGAGGCAGGCGGAAUUCCUAGUGUAGCGGUGAAAUGCGUAGAUAUUAGGAGGAACACCAGUGGCGAAGGCGGCCUGCUGGGCUUUAACUGACGCUGAGGCUCGAAAGCGUGGGUAGCAAACAGG